AUAUAUUUUGUUGUUUAUUUCAUUUUGCCGUUGGAAAACGAAUUUAUCUUGAAAUUUUUUUACUUAAUAGAUUUGAUUUGCUUUUACGAUUGAGUAAUUCCAUUGUUUGUUGAAUCUCUACUUGUACGUUCGUAUUGCCAACCAUCGAUGUUGACGGAACACUUUAUGGUAUUGUACAAGUAAGAUAUGACACUUGUGGGGCUGAAUUUUUUAUCCUUUAAUGUUUUUAAUGUGAACUGUGACAAAGAAAUCCCACGAGUUUUAUAUCUAAGAACACUUGUUUGCGUAAAUGUUUCAUUGAUUUUCUUGUUUAUUAAAUAAUCUGUAACUUAAUGAUCAUUUAUUGUGUUUGAGUAGUUGCUGAUACUUUGUUGUAGAAAAAAUAUUGUGCAGGGAUUGUAUUGCUAGCUUCGGCAACAACUUUAUGGUUCCUCUUUGAACGAGCUGGUUAUAAUCUCUUGUCUUUUGUUUCUAAUGUGUUGCUUCUUCUGGUCUCAAUCCUCUUCCUCUGGUGCAAAUCUGCUUCCCUUCUCAACAGGGGUUCUUCUUAGUUUGUCUAUGCCUGUGCUGUAUGACAAGUACCAAGACCACAUUGAUGAAAAGUUGUGCCAAACACAGAGAGUUAUCCAAACAAUAGAGGAAAAUUGAUGAUAACCUCCUAAAAAAGAUUCCAUUGCCCCAAAA
Molecule: long non-coding RNA, 684 nt
Organism: Mangifera indica (mango)
Lineage: Eukaryota; Viridiplantae; Streptophyta; Magnoliopsida; Sapindales; Anacardiaceae
Exons: 2
Source: RefSeq, a predicted model, not a curated record